This 46-nucleotide non-coding RNA is filed under the name Schistosoma haematobium. The record is from RNAcentral. Lineage: Eukaryota; Metazoa; Platyhelminthes; Trematoda; Strigeidida; Schistosomatidae.
UCACUGCUGAAGAGUCCCAUACUAGGACGAAACGGCCGUCCAGUGU